RNAcentral lists this ribosomal RNA (477 nucleotides) under uncultured bacterium. Its description in RNAcentral is "bacterial SSU rRNA". It matches the Rfam family "Bacterial small subunit ribosomal RNA", at positions 32 to 521 of the family's 1533-position model. The record is from RNAcentral.
AAUCAACGCUGGCGGCGUGCCUCAGACAUGCAAGUCGAACGAUUAAACUUUCCUUCGGGAAAGACAUAAAGUGGCGCACGGGUGAGUAACACGUAAGUAAUCUGCCUUCGAGUGGGGAAUACCUUCGGGAAACCGAAGAUAAUACCGCAUAAUGCAGCGGCACCGCAAGGUGACAGUUGUUAAAGAUUUAUCGCUUGAAGAGGAGCUUGCGGCAGAUUAGCUAGUUGGAAGGUAAUGGCUUACCAAGGCUACGAUCUGUAACCGGUCUAAGAGGACGGUCGGUCACACUGACACUGAAUAACGGGUCAGACUCCUACGGGAGGCAGCAGUCGGGAAUUUUGGGCAAUGGGCGAAAGCCUGACCCAGCAACGCCGCGUGAAGGAUGAAGUAUUUCGGUAUGUAAACUUGAAAGAAUGGGAAGAAUAAAUGACGGUACCAUUUAUAAGGUCCGGCUAACUACGUGCCAGCAGCCGCAGU